Hemicordylus capensis (graceful crag lizard) is the source of this 201-nucleotide long non-coding RNA. RefSeq lists it as uncharacterized. The record is from RefSeq and is a predicted model, not a curated record. The transcript is spliced from 2 exons. Lineage: Eukaryota; Metazoa; Chordata; Lepidosauria; Squamata; Cordylidae.
CAGGAGGCCAGGAGGCUGAGCAGGGAAGAUGGGGUAAGCCAUGUGUCAGGUGAAGGCAUGCCUAGGAGCCUAUCUGAGAUAUACAGGGGUGAAGAGAAGAGCAAGGAGGUUACAUUCUGACAGAAAUUCCAGGAUAUUGUAUGGAUCUGCCUUUUACUGUUUGGGUGAAAAACCAUUAUAUAUACCUGAAGAUAUGAGGUU